This 3321-nucleotide long non-coding RNA is filed under the name Nicotiana tabacum (common tobacco). RNAcentral's name for it is "long non-coding RNA (NTAB_LNC015647)". The record is from RNAcentral. Lineage: Eukaryota; Viridiplantae; Streptophyta; Magnoliopsida; Solanales; Solanaceae.
AGCAUUCCAACAAACCUUUCCAUAACAUCAGUAACGUUUUUGUUCUAAAGAGCUUCAUUCAAGCUUUAUUUCAUAAGUUACUAAAGGAAAAGGGUCAGCCAAGAUGGUCUUUGCAUAAGCAGCGUUAUUGUUUCAGGCUUUUCAUAUAACUUAUUCCGUGUUUUGUUGUAAUUAAUGUGUGUUAGAGGAUUGUCAAGAGAAUCGACUCAGGUAUGUUAAGGCUAAUCCUUCUUUCUUUUGGCAUGACCCAAGUAACGAUACGUAAACGUAAUGCUAUUCCAUAAGUGAUUCUACUCUUAGCAGUUAAGGAUGUCUAUGUUAUUCAUUCCAGUAAAGUGAUAUUCAAGCAUGUCUACGUGUGUCCCUAGUCCCUAUUGAGGUAUAUGACAGAGAACUUGUGUUACAAAUAUAUGUGUUGAGAUUUGUUUAUAAAUAUUAUUUUUAUAGUUUAACUAAACAUGUAGUAAUUAUAUGCAUAUAAUGAACAAAUAUAACAUGAUUAUUUGUAAUAUUAAACUUACACUAUUGUGUUAUUACAUGAUAUUUAAUAGUAGAGUAGUCAUAUUGUGAUCAAUAAUUGAUUGUAAAAAUAUAUUAAUAUUAUAGUUUGCGGUUGUUUGUGACAAGUUACACUUGAAAAUUGAUUAUGAACUAUAACAUAAUGAAUUAUAAUAUAGUAUAUAUUGUUACAACACAAAAUGUUAUAAAAUAUCAAUUUGAUUAUAAUAUAUCGUUAGAUUGUUGUAGAUUGAUUUUGAAGUAACGAUUCAUGCAUAAUAAAGGUUUAUAAUGCAUUUUUAUUUAGUUGUAUAGGUAGUUUGACGUUGUGAUAUAUAUGAUUGUAUAAAUACUAUGAUGAAAUUCAUUCAACUUAAUGUAAGACAAUUACCAUAUAUUGUCAUGACUGAUAAUUGCACUGUUAACAAUGGCUAUCUUGAUAACUUUUGGGGUACUAACAUAAAAGAUAUACGAUUGUGUAUAUAUAGUAUAAUUAUUAUGUGUUAAGGCCGUAUGAUAUUGAUGGAAUUAGGUAUUUUGUGGUGUAGUUUUAGAUAAUUGAUUUUGAUUAAUUAUGAUAGUAGAUAAUGACGUGUAAUAAGUAAUAGAAUUAAUGUUAUGUAAUAAAUAUGAUUAAGACGUUGAAUGAAGUUGUGUAUGGUAUAUGAUAGAGAGGUUAAUAUUUAUAAUAUAGUGAUACAUGUACAUGCAUAUUCAUGCAUUUACGACCGUGCUACGGCCGGUCGGACAGUUAUCACCGAUUGGGCAGUUAUAUAUCAUUAUUUACCGCCGGUUGGGUAGACAUGCAUAUUCAUUUACCACCGAGCUACGACCAGUUGGGCAGUUACAUAUUUACCACCGAGCUACGACCGGUUGGGCAGUUACAUAUUUACUACCGAGAUACGGCCGGUCGGGCAGUCAUGCAUUUACUACCGAGCUACGGCCGGUUGGGUAGUUACAUAUUUACCACCGAGCUACGGCCGGUCUGCCAGUUACCACUGAUCAGUUGGGCAGUCAUGCAUCAUACAACAUAGAUAAUAGUCUCAAAGAGAGGCAUUAUAUAUACAAGUAUAAUAAGUAUGCAUAUACGGUGGCACUUCAGAGACUCAGGUUGAUUCUUAUAUGUCUUUAAAGUAAUGUGGACUUAUUGUUAUGUUUCAGUUCUGCCUUACAUACUUAGUACAUUAUUCGUAUUGACGUCCUAUUGUUGGGGGCGCUGAAUUCAUGCAUGCAGAUAUAGAUAAUCAGUUUGACGAGCCCUCAUAGUAGACGAGAUUGACAUUCAGCAAAGAAUCGGUAAGACUCCACCUCAUUCGGAGUGCAGCCGAGUCUAUGAGUCAUCGUGUCAGAAUUUUGCUAAAGACUUAUGGGUAGGCCGGUACCUUAUCCUAUUUGAUGUCAAAUAAUCUUUGAGGCUUUGUAGACAGAGGUUCAUUUUGUACAGUAUGUCAGAGGCCUUGACGGCCCAUAUGUAUUCAUGUUUUAAGAAAAAUGGUUCAAUGAUACAGUGUUGUCCACUUAUAUUAUGAGUUGUAGCCAUAUUGGCCCAUGAUACUUAUAGAAGAAAAAUAUAUGAGUUACAUACUGGUUCGCUCGGGCCAGCACAGCACCGGGUGCCAGCCACGCCUCCCCAGGUUUGGGGCAUGACAUCUUUCACCAUGCAAUGCAGUAUGAGGCGAUCUUUUAGCCAUGCAAUGCAGUAUGAGGCGAUCUUUCAGCCAUGUAAUGCAGUAUGAGGUGAUCUUUCAGCCAUGCAAUGCAGUAUGAGGCGAUCUUUCAGGCAUGCAAUCCAGUAUGGGGCGAUCUUUCAGCCAUGCAGUGCAGUAUGAGGCAAUCUUUCAGCCAUGCAAUACAGUAUGGGGCGAUCCUUCAACCAUGCAAUGCAGUAUGGGACGAUCUUUCAUGAUGCAGUGUAGCAUGAGGCGAUCUUUCAGCCAUGCAAUGCAGUAUGGGGCGAUCUUUCAGCCAUGCAGUGUAGUAUGAGGCGAUCUUUCAGCCAUGCAAUGCAGUAUGAGGCGAUCUUUUAGCUAUGCAAUACAAUAUGGGGCGAUCUUUCAGCCAUUCAAUACAGUAUGGAGCAAUCUUUCAGCCAUGCAAAUGCAGUAUAGGGCGAUUUUUCAGCCAUGCAGAUGCAGUAUGAGGCGAUCUUUCAGCCAUGCAUAUGCUAUAUGAGGCGAUCUUUCAGCCAUGCAAUGCAGUAUGGGGCAAUCUUUCAGCCAUGCAAUGCAGUGUGAGGCGAUAUUUCAUCCAUGCAAAUGCAGUAUGGGGCGAUAUUUCAACCAUGCAGAUGCAGUAUGAGGCGAUCUUUCAGCCAUGCAAUGCAGUAUGGGCUAUCUUUCAGCCAUGCAGAUGCAGUAUGGGGCGAUUUUUCAUCCAUGCAAUGUUGUGUGACGGCAGUGUUUAGCCUUAUGCAAGGAUGAAGGCAGUGUUUAAUCUUAUGCAAGGAUGGAGGCAGUGUUUAACCUUAUGCAAGGAUGGGGGCAGUGUUUAGCCUUAUGCAAGAUUAGAGGCAAAGCUUAGCCUCCUGCAAGUGGGGGAAGGUAGUUCUUAGCCUUAUGCAAGAAUGGAGGCAGAGCUUAGCCUCAUGCAAAUGAUGAGAAGUCAGUGUUUAGCCUUAUAGAAGUAGAGGAAGGCAAUGGUUAGCCUUGUGUAAAUAAGAGAAAGCAAUUCUUUGCCUUAUGAAGAUGAAGACUUUGUGAUUUGCGGUGUAUAUCCCUAUACAGGUGGUGAUCUUCGUGCUUUGCAACAUAUGUCUGUUGAGAAAAGUUUUACAUUGUUGUACCUAUCAUUCCUUUUCGAAGACUCUGAUGAAUACAAUCCCAA